CAAGUAUUUCUUAAGAAAAGCUACUGAGAGAAAGGGAGUUGAGGAGAGGGUGAUUACUAGAGGAAAAGGGCUAGGGGAGCCAUCUAGUUCCGGUAAAGAAAAGGAAAAAGAACCAAGAGAGGAUCAUUUUUAUUUGAUGUAGAUAGUAUGCUACUGAUGUAGCUAUUGUAUAUUUGACUUCUUUUAGAAUAUGUAUGAUGUAUUAAACAUUAACAGAUCAUCUAUGUAUAUUUGAGCAGAUUCAUGUGAAUUAUGAUUGUAUGAAUUUGAAAAUUUAUAGUCUAUUAA
Non-coding RNA from Jatropha curcas, 288 nucleotides. The record is from RefSeq and is a predicted model, not a curated record. NCBI's taxonomy places the organism in Eukaryota, Viridiplantae, Streptophyta, Magnoliopsida, Malpighiales, Euphorbiaceae.